GAUGAACGCUGGCGGCGUGCCUAAUACAUGCAAGUCGAGCGAACAGACGAGGAGCUUGCUCCUCUGACGUUAGCGGCGGACGGGUGAGUAACACGUGGAUAACCUACCUAUAAGACUGGGAUAACUUCGGGAAACCGGAGCUAAUACCGGAUAAUAUAUUGAACCGCAUGGUUCAAUAGUGAAAGACGGUUUUGCUGUCACUUAUAGAUGGAUCCGCGCCGCAUUAGCUAGUUGGUAAGGUAACGGCUUACCAAGGCAACGAUGCGUAGCCGACCUGAGAGGGGAUGCGCCCACAGUGGAACUGGACCACGGCCCAAACUCCGACGGAGGGAGGGAGAAGGGAAUUUCCGGAAAGGGCGGAAAGCUAAAGGGGACAACGCCGGGGAGGGUGAGAAGGUUUUGGAAUGUGAAAACUCUUUUAUUGGGGAAAAAAAAAUUUUUAAGUAACUGAGCACGUUUGGAGGGUCCCUAAACAAAAACCCCGGGCAAACUACG
This 495-nucleotide ribosomal RNA is filed under the name uncultured bacterium. RNAcentral describes it as "partial 16S ribosomal RNA". It matches the Rfam family "Bacterial small subunit ribosomal RNA", at positions 28 to 505 of the family's 1533-position model. The record is from RNAcentral.